GGGGUAGUACUGGUUUCGACAGGGAGCCUGAAGCUGGAGAAGCUAUCCGAAGGAUGGUUGCGUUAAACCUCAAACUAAAUUUAAACGCAGACGAUAGUUACGCGUUAGCAGCUGCCUAAGCGCAGCCGCCGUCGGCCCGGUUCUACCUGUGGUCCCGGAUACCGGCGUCAUCAUCACAGGAAACGGUAGCGGCAAAGGCUUGAGCCGUUAUACGUAUCAUUAGUCUACUGAAACCUUAAGGCUGUGCAUUGCCGUAGGGUAGAGGGAAUGUAAAAUAAUGUACUAUGAUAGUAGAAGGACAGGGGACGGUUUUUUGGACAGGGGUUCGACUCCCCUCUACUCCACU
Molecule: transfer-messenger RNA, 346 nt
Filed under: bovine gut metagenome
Rfam family: transfer-messenger RNA
About the family: Bacterial tmRNA, also known as 10Sa RNA or SsrA, is named for its dual tRNA and mRNA-like properties. Its role is to liberate the mRNA from a stalled ribosome.
Source: RNAcentral